This 427-nucleotide ribosomal RNA is filed under the name uncultured bacterium. RNAcentral describes it as "partial 16S ribosomal RNA". It matches the Rfam family "Bacterial small subunit ribosomal RNA", at positions 355 to 774 of the family's 1533-position model. The record is from RNAcentral.
UGGGGAAUAUUGCACAAUGGGCGCAAGCCUGAUGCAGCCAUGCCGCGUGUGUGAAGAAGGCCUUCGGGUUGUAAAGCACUUUCAGCGAGGAGGAAGGGUAGUGUGUUAAUAGCACAUUGCAUUGACGUUACUCGAAGAAGAAGCACCGGCUAACUCCGUGCCAGCAGCCGCGGUAAUACGGAGGGUGCAAGCGUUAAUCGGAAUUACUGGGCGUAAAGCGCACGCAGGCGGUUUGUUAAGUCAGAUGUGAAAUCCCCGCGCUUAACGUGGGAACUGCAUUUGAAACUGGCAAGCUAGAGUCUUGUAGAGGGGGGUAGAAUUCCAGGUGUAGCGGUGAAAUGCGUAGAGAUCUGGAGGAAUACCGGUGGCGAAGGCGGCCCCCUGGACAAAGACUGACGCUCAGGUGCGAAAGCGUGGGGAGCAAACA